Molecule: ribosomal RNA, 449 nt
Filed under: Bacillus subtilis
Lineage: Bacteria; Bacillati; Bacillota; Bacilli; Caryophanales; Bacillaceae
Description: bacterial SSU rRNA
Rfam family: Bacterial small subunit ribosomal RNA
Source: RNAcentral
CGCAAGAUUGAAACUCAAAGGAAUUGACGGGGGCCCGCACAAGCGGUGGAGCAUGUGGUUUAAUUGGAAGCAACGCGAAGAACCUUACCAGGUCUUGACAUCCUCUGACAAUCCUAGAGAUAGGACGUCCCCUUCGGGGGCAGAGUGACAGGUGGUGCAUGGUUGUCGUCAGCUCGUGUCGUGAGAUGUUGGGUUAAGUCCCGCAACGAGCGCAACCCUUGAUCUUAGUUGCCAGCAUUCAGUUGGGCACUCUAAGGUGACUGCCGGUGACAAACCGGAGGAAGGUGGGGAUGACGUCAAAUCAUCAUGCCCCUUAUGACCUGGGCUACACACGUGCUACAAUGGACAGAACAAAGGGCAGCGAAACCGCGAGGUUAAGCCAAUCCCACAAAUCUGUUCUCAGUUCGGAUCGCAGUCUGCAACUCGACUGCGUGAAGCUGGAAUCGCUA